GUAUUCGUGAUUCAGUGGUAGAAUUCUUGCCUUCUGUGUGAGAGACCUGGGUUCGAUUCUUGGCCAAUUCA
Molecule: transfer RNA, 71 nt
Filed under: Loxodonta africana (African savanna elephant)
Lineage: Eukaryota; Metazoa; Chordata; Mammalia; Proboscidea; Elephantidae
Rfam family: tRNA
About the family: Transfer RNA (tRNA) molecules are approximately 80 nucleotides in length. Their secondary structure includes four short double-helical elements and three loops (D, anti-codon, and T loops).
Source: Rfam by way of RNAcentral